ACUCCUUCAAUGCACGCACAUACGUGCCC
This 29-nucleotide small RNA is filed under the name Bombyx mori (domestic silkworm). Its description in RNAcentral is "ovarian small RNA-11666". The record is from RNAcentral. Lineage: Eukaryota; Metazoa; Arthropoda; Insecta; Lepidoptera; Bombycidae.